GGCAGGUGCGGUGGUGCGUGCUUGUAGUCCCAGCUACUUGGGAGGCUGAGGCUGGAGGAUCACUUGAGUCCAGGAGUUCUGGGCUGUAGUGCGCUAUGCCAAUCAGGUGUCCGCACUAAGUUCGGCAUUAAUAUGGUGACCUCCUGGGAGCGGGGGACCACCAGGUUGCCUAAGGAGUGGUAAAUCGGCCCAGGUUGGAAAUGCAGCAGGUUAAAAAUCCUGUGCUGAUCAGUAGUGGGAUCCUGCCUGUGAAUAGCCACUGCACUCCAGCCUGGGCAACAUAGUGAGACCCAAUCACUU
Unclassified non-coding RNA from Callithrix jacchus (white-tufted-ear marmoset), 300 nucleotides. It matches the Rfam family "Metazoan signal recognition particle RNA". Rfam says of the family: The signal recognition particle (SRP) is a universally conserved ribonucleoprotein. It is involved in the co-translational targeting of proteins to membranes. The eukaryotic SRP consists of a 300-nucleotide 7S RNA and six proteins: SRPs 72, 68, 54, 19, 14, and 9. The record is from Ensembl. Lineage: Eukaryota; Metazoa; Chordata; Mammalia; Primates; Cebidae.